GAUGGGGAAGAAAUGGCGAUCAACAGUGUUGUUGUCACGGAAGAAGUUGAUCGAGUUUUGAAAUCAGUUGAAUGUCUGGUAGAAGCAGAGGGUGAUAAGGAGUUGAAUACAAUUCUGGCGUUUGAUUGCAAAUGCAGAGGGAGUCGAAAAGAGAACACAGAAGGCUGUUGUAUAAAACACCUGUCUCCGGAUAACAUCUUCAAAAUAAGGACAACCAUUGCAUCAGUGACAGAGAGGGAGAAAGAUCUGAUGAUUCUUAUAGCAUUGCACACGGUCAGUGUGAACCAGAGUGACUUGACACAACAGCCUAAACAAGCUGUACAAACAAAACGGAAACGACACAGGACGUCUUAUUUAAUGAAAGGGGUUGCAGUCUCCCGUGAAGCGUUCAUCCAUGUAUACGGCAUCAGUAGAACACGCCUGACUCUCCUCCAACAGUCAACAAGUCAACUACUUGAUUGAUGAAGGCAUGUCAUCCAGCAAAGGCAGCAGCACAGUCAUCAACUACAUGCACCAUUUCUUCACCAACUAUGGAGUUGGGGAAACAUGUGGACCUGAAUUGUGAUGACUGCAGUGGCCAAAACAAGAACAAGUUUGUGCUCUGGUAUUGUGCCUGGCAGACCAUGCACAAGCUCCACCACAGUCUGGACCUUCACUUCCUGAUCACAGGCCACACCAAGUUUGCCCCCGAAUGGUGCUUCGGCCUCGUCAAGCAGCACUUCAGAAAGACCAGAGUGAACACUUUGUCCGAGAUUGCUUGUGUUGUGAAGGACAGCACUGUGACAGGGGUCAACAUCCCACAGCUGGUUGGACUGGAGAAUGGUACGGUGGUGGUGGAAAGCUAUGGCUGGCAACAACACCUGACUCCGUACUUCAGGCCGCUGCCACAGAUCAAGUAGUACCAGCACUUCAGCCUGGUGUUGUUGUCGCCAAGGAGCGUUCGGACUCAGUCAGGACCAGGUUUCAGCUGCUGCGCAACGCUGACGUCCUUCCUCCCAUAGAUGGUCUGCGUGUACAAGCACCACCUGGACUGGACACAGCUAGACAAACGUAUACUUUUGAGAAGAUCAGGGAGUUUUGCGACGAAGAGGCUAUGGACAUCACAUGCCCUGCACCAAAGUCAAGGGCAGGACACAAACAGGCUCUCCGAAUAUAGAUUCCCUUGUUCAAGUGUGGUUCGGAUGGACCAGUUCAUCACUGGGGGCGAGUUCCCAGUCAUCAGAAGAAGACAAAAAUAAAUGUGGAUGCUGCCAUGAUAAUCAUGAAUGAAUUGUGAAUAAUGAUGAGUGAGAAAGUUAGAAGCAUAAACAUCAUACUUCCCAAAAAUCAUGUUUUGGGGGCAUGAUCUUUGUGCAUCUGUAACUUUCUCACUCAUCAUUAAUCACGAUUCAUUAAUGAUUGCCAUGGUUAAUGUAGAAGUGUUCAGAAACAUAUAUUAUAUGUUUAUUUACAAGUGACUGCAAAAUGACAUAAUCCAUUAUUUACCAUUAAUGUUUAUUUGGCACAACAUAAUCUGAAACACAACCAAAACAAACU
This is a long non-coding RNA of Coregonus clupeaformis (lake whitefish), 1536 nucleotides long. RefSeq lists it as uncharacterized. The record is from RefSeq and is a predicted model, not a curated record. Lineage: Eukaryota; Metazoa; Chordata; Actinopteri; Salmoniformes; Salmonidae. The transcript has 3 exons.